This 253-nucleotide ribosomal RNA is filed under the name uncultured bacterium. RNAcentral describes it as "partial 16S ribosomal RNA". It matches the Rfam family "Bacterial small subunit ribosomal RNA", at positions 524 to 776 of the family's 1533-position model. The record is from RNAcentral.
UACAGAGGUCCCAAGCGUUGUUCGGAUUCACUGGGCGUAACGGGUGCGUAGGCGGUUUGGCAAGUCUGAUGUGAAAUCCCGCAGCUUAACUGCGGAACUGCACUGGAAACUGCUUGACUAGAGGAAUGGAGGGGAGACUGGAAUUCAUGGUGUAGCAGUGAAAUGCGUAGAGAUCAUGAGGAAGACCAGUGGCGAAGGCGGGUCUCUGGACAGUUCCUGACACUGAGGCACGAAGGCCAGGGGAGCAAACGGG